UCAUAAGCGUCCAGGACAACAAAUCUGUACUCGGGACAUGGAGAGAAGUCAUAGUAUGCACGAUCAGAAUCGGUUGGCAUCUUCAGCAACGAUACUAGCUUGCCACGAGGAAGGUUAUAGAGGCAAUGGUUCCCAAACAUGUGCCCUUUGGAGGACGCUGAUGCUAUGACGGUAGUAGCGUGGGACACCAAGGAAUGAGCGACCAUCUGGAAUAUCAGCGUACUGGACAUCAGCAAUGACACCGAAGGAAAAUAAGGGUUCCCUAGAAGAUGCAUGGAUUACUCCAUUUGUCACAGCCAUCAUCUCUGUGAUAGAACCUGGAAUAGGUUUAUUCAGAAUAUUGAAUCAGUUAUAAUAUAAGCACCAUGCCACAAUAACGAGGAAAGGAUUUGAGCACGGUCUAAACAGGUGUUAGAACUCUACGUUGUACUUUUCUACUUUAAUGCUACUCUUGCACAUUACUGAAGUCAUAGUCUACACUAACAAAUUCACCAAACAAUUUGGUAAGGCUCUGAAUCUUGAUUUCCCCUUAAUCAGUCAUAAUCCCUUUUAGAAGUGUUUGACUAGCAGAUUAGCUCCAUAUCAUGAUAUGGGAGCGUUCAAAGUAAAAUGAAUCUCUUUGUAUCUAUAUGUGAUUUUUUUUUAAUUGCCAAAUGAUUGAUAUUGAAAGUCUGAAUUUGGAUUGCGGUACUAAAAACUGGCAUUCAAGAAAACUAAAUUUGUGGUGAUUUUCAAGAACAUCGAAAGAACAACACUGAAAUGUAGUACGAUUACUAAAAUAAAGAAGUUUGCCGUUUGCCUUGUGUAGUAUUAAAAUUAAUGUAUUGCAAAGAUAGUGCGUGUUUGCCUUGUUGUAUCAAUUUUGACCUGAAGCAAUUAUCAGUGUACAAAAAAAUGAAGAAAGUGGGGAACCCUAAUUAUUACGGAGCUGGAUAAUUUGAUUAAUUAUUUGAAAUAUAAUCAGAACAAUUGAUCACGUGUUGCGCAAAAUCGAAAAAUGAUAGGCAUACCGAAUGGAAGAAGGGCCUUAUCUACGCGGCGGUGUUCCCCAACCCCUGUCUCCACCUCCUUUCUCUACACGGAGAGAAAUGGAGAGAAGA
Non-coding RNA from Oryza sativa Japonica Group (Japanese rice), 1100 nucleotides. Lineage: Eukaryota; Viridiplantae; Streptophyta; Magnoliopsida; Poales; Poaceae. The record is from RefSeq and is a predicted model, not a curated record.